RNAcentral lists this ribosomal RNA (400 nucleotides) under uncultured bacterium. RNAcentral describes it as "bacterial SSU rRNA". It matches the Rfam family "Bacterial small subunit ribosomal RNA", at positions 355 to 770 of the family's 1533-position model. The record is from RNAcentral.
UGAGGGAUAUUGGGCAAUGGGGGAAACCCUGACCCAGCAACGCCGCGUGAGGGAAGAAGGUCUUCGGAUUGUAAACCUAAGUAGUCAGGGACGAAGAAAUGACGGUACCUGAAGAGUAAGCUCCGGCUAACUACGUGCCAGCAGCCGCGGUAAUACGUAGGGAGCGAGCGUUGUCCGGAUUUACUGGGUGUAAAGGGUGCGUAGGCGGGCUGUCAAGUCAGAUGUGAAAUACCGGGGCUUAACUCCGGGGCUGCAUUUGAAACUGAUGGUCUUGAGUGAAGUAGAGGCAGGCGGAAUUCCUAGUGUAGCGGUGAAAUGCGUAGAUAUUAGGAGGAACACCAGUGGCGAAGGCGGCCUGCUGGGCUUUAACUGACGCUGAGGCACGAAAGCAUGGGGAGCA